Non-coding RNA from Danio rerio (zebrafish), 1059 nucleotides. The record is from Ensembl. NCBI's taxonomy places the organism in Eukaryota, Metazoa, Chordata, Actinopteri, Cypriniformes, Danionidae.
AUUUAUUAGAGCAGCUGUCGAUGUGGGCAGGUGUUCAUAAAACGUGAUUUUAAUAGUUUGGCGUGACUCCUUUUUCAUUGCCCGGGAUUUAGCAGGCAGACGCAGCUUCUGCAAUGGUCGACAUUAACUGCUCCCAGCAGCGGAUCUGAUUAACACGAUACCAAAGUGAUUUUAUUACCUGUGGAUCUUCAAACUUCACAUCCAGAGUUGUGAGGAAUCAGAGGUGCAUGCGGCUGCCCACGGGAAAAAUUUGCCAUCAGCCCAACACAGUUUGGAUUAUCAUAGGACUGUCAGAGGUUUGCCAAACCUGUCAAAUGCAUGAUGGCUCCUGUUUGGACUUACCGAUGUCCUCGACUUCAAGUAUCCAUCAAAACUGUAUACAUUUGAGAUAUAUUAGAGACUCUUUGUGGGACUAGACAUUAUACAUCCUAAAUCUUUAUCAAAAUAUGCAAAUCUCCUCACUGAGUUGCCUUGGAUGAUUUCUCAAUAGGAUCUGGUAUUAUUAAUGUUUUUAUUUAUGUAUUGUGUACGUGUAGCCACAUUAAUGGCCUAUUUUGUAGUCACUAUUAAAAGGAACAUCGAUUGAUAUUGAAUACAUGUUAUGGUCUUUAAUCCAUCUUCCCAUUCUUAUUUAAUUGUUAUUGACAGGAAAGUCUGUUUAUCUGUUUUUACUAGUGUAUAUUGUGCUUACAAUAUAGAAACGAAGAUUUAUUUUCUGAGGUUACAGCCAGAAGUCAAUUAAAUUAGUUUUAAAUGACAUAUGCAUGGUUAAUUUUAUUUAGAUAAUUAAGUUCAUAAUACUUAAUUAAAAUGAGUACAGUCAACAUAUAGCAAUGUAUAAGUAAGUUAAGUUUAACAAAAAAAGUAAGUUUAUCUGAUUUGAGUAAUUUUAGAAAUAUUAGUUGGCUCAACUUAAUUUUAUUGCAUUUGUUUUAAGCAAUGUUUUAGUGUUUAAAAUACUUAAAAAAGGCUGGAAGUUGAAUCAACCUAAAACGUCCGAUGCAACCACUUGCCUCACUUUUUAUAAGUUAGAUCUAAGUAACAUUUUUUACAGUGCUG